GGAGCCUCUGGCCUUUGUUAGUCUUGUAUUAUUUUAAUUUUAGUUUCUUGUGUACAAUUUGGAAAUUAGUAUGGAGUUCAUUAUCACUGAACUAGUAUAUAUUUGUUUAGGGGCCAGCUGAAGAACGCCUCCGGGUGCGGGAAUUUUUCGCUACAUUGAAGACCUGUUGGUGACCUUCUGCUGUUGUUUUUGUUUUUUUUUUUCUAUGGUCAGGUUGUUGUCUCUUUGGCACAUUCCCCAUUUCCAUUCUCAAUUUUACAAUUAUAUAAUAUAAACUAUAUAUAUCUUUGUAACUGGCCAAUAUAUGAGACAGUAAACAAAAUGAAUAAUGCUUUAUAACAAUUUAAAAAAAAACGUGUUACCAGUAAAACAAAGACAUUUAUAUGGUCUAACAAAAAAAAUCUAAUUUUACACCAUAUCUGUUAAAACAGAAAAAAAGCUUAAACAAAUUAAUUAAGAAUGUGUCCACAGUACAUGGAUGCCCCACUCCCACUAUCAUUUUUUAUGUUCAGUGGGCCGUGAAAUUGGGGUAAAAAUCUAAUUUGGGAUUAAAAUUUAGAAAGAUCAUAUCAAAGAGAACAUGUGUAAUAAGUUUCAAGUUGAUUGGACUUCAACUUCAUCAAAAACUACCUUGACCAAAAACUUUAACUUGAAACAGGAUGAAAGGACCGACGGACGCACAGACCAGAAAACAUAAUGCCCCCCUACUAUCGUAGGUGGGGCAUGUGGGGCAUAAAAAUACAACAAUCUAUACCUGUUUUCAGUAUAAAUGUGUUUAUAUUAGGGCUAUUCCAGAAAAAAUGUAGGGGGGGGGGGGUUUGGAAGGCACAUUAUAUUAAUAAUACAUGGGUGAUGGGUAUUGGAGCAACUUUUCACACUAUAAUGCACUAUAAUUCUCAAUUACAAUUGUCUGGGUGGCGGGUGCUGACAAAAACUGCCUUCCAACCCCCCCCCCAUACAUUUUUUUCUGGAAUAGCCCUUAGUUCUACUUGUAAUAUUAUUAAAAAAGAUCAACAACAAAAAAUGGCCAAAGGCAACAAUGAGUCUUCAACAUAGAGAGAAAACCCAUACACUGAAAAGUAUUUCUGGCACUUGAACCAAGUCAUAUGAUAUGAAUCAG
Molecule: long non-coding RNA, 1120 nt
Filed under: Mytilus galloprovincialis (Mediterranean mussel)
Lineage: Eukaryota; Metazoa; Mollusca; Bivalvia; Mytilida; Mytilidae
Source: RNAcentral